This 426-nucleotide ribosomal RNA is filed under the name Xenozancla versicolor. RNAcentral describes it as "partial 28S ribosomal RNA". Lineage: Eukaryota; Metazoa; Arthropoda; Insecta; Lepidoptera; Geometridae. The record is from RNAcentral.
CGUGAAACCGUCCAGGGGUAAACCUGCGAAACUCGAAUGAACGAACGGAGAGAUUCAUCGUCAUUCGUCGGCGCACGGGCGUUGGUGCGAUGUACGCGAUCUCGAUCGUCGAACACGCGCCGCGCACGUAGCGCUCCGGCGACGGCGUGCACUUCUCUCUUAGUAAUACAUCGCGACCCGUCGCGUGUCGGUCUAAGUGCCCUCCGGGAGUCUUCGCUUCGCUCGCGCGUUGAGUAGACCGCGAGGUGUCGCCGACCGGCCGCGCGACGGUAGACCCAAAGAAACGCGCACGCGCCACGCGCGCGUCCGGCCCGACGCAAGGCAACGUCGUUUACCCUCCGUCUGCCCGAGUGCGGCGUUGUUGGGGUGCGGCGCGCCUGUCGUCGCAGCCGUGCUGUCUCGGACUGUGCGCGUAUCCGUCUGCGA